Lepisosteus oculatus (spotted gar) is the source of this 119-nucleotide ribosomal RNA. The record is from Rfam. NCBI's taxonomy places the organism in Eukaryota, Metazoa, Chordata, Actinopteri, Semionotiformes, Lepisosteidae.
UACAGCAGCCAUAUCAGCCUGCAAUUCACAACUGGCAACCCACUGAAGCUAAGCAGGUGUGAGCCUGGUACGUACCUGGAUGGGAGACCUCCUGGGAAAAACAAAAGUUGCUGCUGGAA